Molecule: long non-coding RNA, 7393 nt
Filed under: Triticum aestivum (bread wheat)
Lineage: Eukaryota; Viridiplantae; Streptophyta; Magnoliopsida; Poales; Poaceae
Description: long non-coding RNA (TAES_LNC021536)
Source: RNAcentral
CUGGUUUCAUCGAAUUUGGACCUACGGGUAAAAAGUUGUGGCUAUUCUAAGUUUAGGGACUAAUAUGCUAAUUAUAGGGACUAAACAGUGAAGAAAACUAUCACCAACGAGUCCCUAGCCAGGUGGCGCACUGUGAGAGGCCAGAGAGUGUUCACUUCGGUAGCUAUACGGUGAACAUCCACUGAAUAAUAAAAACAACUACCGCGGCUAAAUAAAAAAAACCAGAGACCGGUUUUCACUAAAACCGCAUGGUUUAAUAAAACCUUGGUUAACCGAUUUAAACAAAAAACAAACAAAACAAGGGGAAGCUCACAGCGAGCGGCAGUGUCGGCGUCGGUGACGUGCAGGGGACAGCGGCGCGGCAUUGGGCAGCGACGGGGUGACGGCCUGCGAUGGUCCUCGGCAGCGGGAAAGAAGACGAAUGGGGCCGGCGCGUCGGGGGCUGUCCGGUGGUGGAGGCGGCGCGCGUUGGGGUGAUAGAGACGGAGCGAAGGAAGGGUGGCGCUCCGGCGAACUCCGGCGGUUCGGACAUCGUCCGUGCGAUGGCUCCGGUGUCCCCUAGACCACAAAAAGUUGUCAACAAGGUGUGCGCGGAGCAGGGGAACAAGUUGACAGAGUUUGGGGCCUCAUAGUGGCUUACGGCCGACGAGCUUCUCCGGCGAAGUAGCUCCAGCCAGCAAGACCCAAGCGGCAACUGCGGGCGGUAGGAGCGUCGAGAGGACGAGCAAGUGGGCAGGAUGGAGAGAGGGGGCUCCGAGGCUUUUAUAGGUGCGGAGAGGGGUGCUCAGGGUGGCGGGAUUAGCCUUAUCCCCGAAGGCGAGGUGCGGUGGUUGCGCGUGGGCGGCGGGCUCGUGCUCUAUCCCGAGCGGGAGAGACGGGAGGUUGGGGAUGGGGGUGGGGCCCUCCUGGCAGCGACAGCUGCAUGCGAGCGAGAGAGAGAGGCGGGUCAGGCAAGCGAGCGGUGGCCUUCGGGCGUUGGGAGCAGGCCACGGGCCGAAGUGCAUGGCUGGCUAGGCCUGCGCGCGGGUGUGCGUGUGUUGUUUUUUGUCACAAAAACUUUCCAAGGCCAAACGAAAUCAAACAAAAUCCUAAAAAAAUACCACGAUAAUUUCUAAAAUUAUCUCUGAAUAUCUGUAACACAGUGAACAUUUAAUCAAGCAUAGAAGAAUUUGAAAAUAUUUUCCUAAUGCAUUUAAUGCACUUUUUGCAAAUUGAAUAAAUACCAAAUAAGUUCUAAAAACUCCAAAUAAUAUUCAAAUGAAAUUCCCACCUCUUUUAUAUUUUGAGGAAGUCAUCUUAUCCCCUCUCCUUCAGUUUUCUUGAGUGGAAAAUAAUAUUUGAACAUUCGAGAAAACUCCAAAAUACCAUAAAUCAUGAGAUGCAAAUGGUUUCAAAUAUUAUUUUAAAUAAUCAUCUAUUGGUUUCAUAAUCCAUUUCCAUUUUCUUUCUGAUAAAUGAAGGAGUCAUAUUUCCUUCUCUCUUUAUUUUAUUUGAAUGAAUGGAAAUGUUUUGAAACUCAAAACGGAAAACUUUACAAAAAUGAACCAAAUGAAAUUCAAAAGUGCUCCUCAUCACUUCCCACUCUAUUUCAUAUAUUCUGAAGAAGUCCUAUUAUCUUAUCUCAUGAAAAUCCUUGAGUGGCAUAGAGUUUCUGAGUUGGACUAUUGUUCAAAUGGAAUUCAAAUCAACUUCAAAACCCCUUUUCAUUUCGUUAAAUGGAUGAAGUCAUAUUAUCUUCACUCUAGGGUUUUGGGAUGAAUGAAUUUUAAUUCAUGGAGAUCAAAAUGUGAGAUGAAGGUUUUGGGAAAUUCCUUUUAUUCCCUCUCAUUCAACUUUCAAAAAGUCUUAAAUUUUCACUCAAUUUCACACAAUCAAUCACACAACAAUCAAACAAACAAUCAUAAUAAUUUAUUUAAUAUAACAUUCCAAAAUUUAGAAUUUUGGGAUGUUACAAACUACCACCCUUAAAAUGAAUCUCGUCCUCGAGAUUCGGAGAGGCUAGAAAGAAGGUUAGGUUUGGGGGGGGUCUCCUUGAAAAUCCAUUCAUCAACACAAGGUAUGGUGUGCUACUACCCUUAGAAGCAUGGUUAUGCUUCCAACAAAACUCAUGUACUCUGCCCUUUGGGUUGACGGUGUCGGUCCUCUCAUACUCCCUGGAGUAACUCUUUCUUUGAGGCCCUUUCGAUAGGGCAUAACCUUUUCCUCAAAAUCUUGAGUCCUUGCAUCAAAGAUGAUCCUUUCGAGAUUGGGUCUUCUUAGCUGUCAGGUCUGUCGCCAAUGCUAAACAACUAUCGAAAAUCUCAUGGUGGUCGACAAUUAUUGGUUCUCCUGCAGAAAAUGGGUUUGGGUUGAACCUCACCGCAUAACCUACGUUUGGCAACAGGUGCCUGUACAGGGUUUCCAUCAUCCUGCCAUUCUAAGUCUUUUGGCUUGUUGUGUCGACACUCUUAUAGGGUUUCAAGUCUCUCUGAUUUUCCCAUCAACAUAUGAUAGCUCAUGAUAGAAGUCUUCAGUAUGGGGGCCAAUCCAUCCCGUACUUGAAUCAUUACCACAUACACAGAUAGUGAAUCACGUAUUCUAACACUUGGGCAUCCUCACAAGCAUUGCAGAACUUCUCUUCUCCACGAACUGGGUUCGGGUAAAUCCAUUUGUUCUGCAAGCCAAACAAAAUCUCUAUCACUUCUUCACAACUCUCGGGUUUACGUAACCUCCUAUGGAACAUCUGCUGAUGAAAUCACAGCUUCCUUCAGAAUUCUUUUCUUCAACAAGAUUGCGCUUGUUUCCUUAUCAAAUCCUGGGUCCUGUGGGUUAUGGCCCACUUCAACACUUGUAUAUCUUUAACUCAUCCUUGGAGUUACUAUCAUUCCAUAUUCCAACAUUAUAUCUCCUUUAAAUCCAAUAGUACUUCAUUCCUUCAUAUUCUUGGGGUAACCAUCAUAACUAAAACAAAACUCCAACUUUAUGGAAUACAUUUUCCUUUCUAAUGGUCUAGUGUUCACACACACAAGUAUCGCCAAAAAAAUGCACUGGUUCAUCCAUAAUUCUCUUCAUAUCAAAUCCUUUAUUACAUCCUUAACCACUACUCAAAAUUCAAAUUUCACAAGUACUCUAUUACAGAAGCUGCCAUCCACAAGUUUGGUAUGGUCAAGCAUUACUUCCAUCUUUAUUCAUUUGCCCUUCUUGAAGAUACUACAGUCCCACUAGAAUUGUGCGAUGUGAUCCUUCAAAUCAUCGAUGUUUUGCUUCAUCUUGGUGGCCAUGAGUUUCAUCUCCAUCAUCUCUGCAUGCACUUCCCUCAGGUAUUCCUGAGUGUGAUGGAGUCUUGCUUCUAGUAUUUCUCCAAUCUGAUGUAUGGCUUCCAUAGCAGCUUCACGAACAGAGUCGAAGAAUGUUGCUCGUGGUACUCGAGAAAUGAAAAAGUAUUGCCCCAUAGUCUUUGGGCAAACUCCCUUCACACGGUGGAGGUGUACCUCCAUGUACCAAAGUUCAACUCCAUUCUCCAUGAAAGGAUAACCCUUGUAGACUGCAUCUCCUUCAAGAUGAAUAUGCUUCAUCAUGUCCUUCAGAAUUUUUGGGUAAUCCUGAUCACUAGUCAGGGUCAUGAUCCUUUCCAGGCCCUUGAGAAAAGACUCGUAAAAGGUUGUCAUCUGCAGUCAUAAGAUAGAAGGGGUACUCAGGAUACUGUAUGUAUUUCCUUUGGUGAAAUGUGGUUAUUUUUCUGGGAAAGGUUUGGGGUCAGCUUGUCCAUGGGUUCAAGGUUUUAGUCUGGGUGAGAUAGCGAGAGAGGUACUCACAAUCAACAAACAACUCAUGACACCUCAUAUGAGAUUCCAACCACAUCAACUUUUAUUGCUUCAUGAACCAUUACAAUUUCCAUUUCAUAACUCAACUCAACACCCCCAAAAAUAAAACUGUAUUCCACAUUUAUUACAUGCUUUAUUCCAAUAUCAAGACCUCAACUACUCAGCUCAAGUUUUCCUCGGAUCUGAACAUUCUCUGACAAAAUGUCCUACUCCUUUGUAGCGUAAACAAAUGGCGUCAGACAAAUCCAGGGGCUUCUUGGUGGUUAUCUUGGCUCCUUGGGUCCUUGGCUUCCUUGCUGGGCAUUUGCUAGCCUAAUGACCUAGAUCCUUGCACCUGUAACAAGUGAUUUGACUCAGGUCCUUUUCUGCAGAAAUUGGGUUAUUCUGGGGAUACAUGCUCUUUCUCUUCCUCAACUUCUUCGUUCCGAUCAAUUCUUCUAUGUCAUGUGGAUCAAACUCCACUUCUUCUAUUGGGAAGUCUCCCAGAUACUCUUGGUUUUCCUUCAUGCAAUAUUGUGAAAAUGUCCUUCUUCUCCACAUGAAUAGCAAGCAUUGGAGUAAAAUCGGUUUAGGCUUUCUCCAUCAGGGUCGUCAACAUCUUCUUUCAUCACCGGUUUUCUUAAACUUUCCCUGAGGGCUUCUUUCACUGCUUCCUUCUGCUGCUUGGUAAUUUCUUGUACCUUGGGAUAAAUAUGACACUGGGCAGGGUAGUGCGUAGUUCCUUCACACAAGAAACAAGUAACCUUCAUUGUUGGACAUUCUUCAGCUUGGUUAUUUCCUUCAUAAUGAGGGCAUCCAUCCUUGUGUUCUUCAUGGGUAUGUCCUAUCUCACCACAAAUCUUGCAUGCACAAGGUUUCUUAAUUUUAUUGCCAUAGGGCUUCUGAAUGAGACGAGACCUCAGUAGAGUCAUCUUGAAUUCCUCCCAAGUUUUUGCUCCGUUACAUCCUUGUAUGGCCUGAUGCAUUUUCCACCAGGUUGCAGCACUUUUUGUAAAGUACUGAAGAGCGUAUUGAACCUCAUACUUCCUUGCAACCAAAUUGCUCCUGAAGUGAUUCUCCAUGCUUUGAAUCCAUAGCUCUGCCUCCAACUGAGUGAUCGGUUCAGAGAAUGCAAGUCCAUCUUCAUUCAUCAUCUAUUGGGUCCAAGGGUUUCGGGAUGAGACACGAGAGAUAGAGAGAUACACACAAUACACACAAUAUAGUUUUGAAAAUAAGUUUCAUUUGUGGUAGUCAGAAAAAACAUCAAACAAUGAUAGCUCCCAAACAUCGCAUCUAACCUAAGUAUACAACAGGGGUUUGGUCCUCUAAAGUUCAUAUAAAUCUUGAAAUUCUUCAAUUCUUCGGAGGCUUCGACUAUUGUAGCUUCAACUCUUCUAGUGUAUGGUGAAGUUUGAUAUCUUGUCGUUCUCGGAGUGGUCUCAUCAGUUGAUCCUCCGUGUGGUCAAAGGGAAAAGGGGUAUUGUCUGACUAUUUGGGGUAAAAGGAAAGAUUUGAUAAAGCUCGGAAAAGAAGAGAGGUAAAGGAUCUUUUUGAAAAUUAAGUUUUAGAGAAAUCCUUUCCUAUGGGCUUUCCAGUUUCUAGGGUCACGUCCUACAGUCAACAUGUGCUCUGAUACCAUCUGAGUAGCGACCCGAUCUCAAACGGUCAAGCCUCUGUGUAUCCGUGCCAUCCCUGGAUCGGUAUGCUGGCACACAUAGUACAUCAACGUAUAUAUCAAAGUGCAAUCACAUGUAUAAAUAACGUAAAACUGAUUUAUACCUCAUAAGUCUCAGCGGAAACAAACAUAAGGGUGUGGAGUCCAUCAACGCCAGCGGCAAGUUGAGUGUAGACCGUAACCCUACAACGUAACUCUUACUCGUCGUAGAAAAUUCCUGCAACAUAAGACGUUGCAACCCUGUAGGUCAGUACAUUGAAUGUACUAGCAAGUCACAUCAUAAGAAUAAUGAACCUAUUUGUACAUGCAGUUUGGCUGGUGGAAAGCUCUAAGUUUAGUUUUUUGCAUAAAGCUAGUUUUUUCCCUAGAAUAAAAGAUAUUAUUCCACCACUACUGUAUAGCAUAGGAUGAGUUGGUAAACCCAACUCAAUCCAUUCCCAAAGUUUCAUUUAAAACCCAACUGUUUAAUUAAAAGUGAUGAGAUCUCCCAGCAUUUCCACUACUAGAUGCUCAAGUUGUCCGUAACCGGGGACACGGCUAAUCGAUUAGGUUUUAACACUCUGCAGAGGUUUGCGCACUUUUCCCCACAAGACUUGAUCGCCUCCCUUGAAGUUCUCACACUGCCUGGCGUUUGAGAACAGGAUGACCAAGACAUAGUCUUUCGAAAAUGUUCCCCCUUAACCCACGGAUAGGCCGGUACACCUACAUCAUUCUACAUCUGCUAGCCCAUCCCGGAAGGGGUCACACUAACUACUCAACUAAGCCAGAGCCCAUAUUGACUUGUGGCUGCACACGUAAGCUUAUAGACAUGAGAAUACGAUUGAUCUCUUUGAGCCUGGCGGGACGGACCACUAGUUUCGCACCACCAUGGAUUUCCCAUGCAUGCUCCCACUGUACUUCGCCACCAUUCAAACCAAACCUCCGCCCAGGUAGUUCAUUAAGUUAUCUUGGUGCUACUUACUACUUUGUCACUCAUCUCUCACAAUGAACACUUCCCAAUCCACGUCUACAUUGGCGAGGCAAAAUUAAACUUACGCGGUGGUGACGAAGGUAUAUGGUUCAAACCUACCUCAAUGAACUACUAGGUAACGACAUAGCCAUCGGGCAACAAUAAAUCCUACCAUGCAAUCCUACCACAAAAGGACUAAGUGCAUAAUAUAAAAACAUAGGUAAUUGGAAGAAUGGUCAAAUGUGAACUUGCCUGGUAAUAGUUGAUGAAGAUUAUAUCGCUCUCAGAAAUUUACUUAAUAGAGCUAUUCGUCACUCUCCGAUGAAAAUCUAUAAGGUCAAACAUUGCAUUCACAUAAGCAAUCAUUUCGGAGAACCAAAUAACAUGCAACAUGAAAAUACUCGGAAAAUCCAAAUGAACACACAACACACUUAACAAUCAAAAAAAAUCCUAAGUGCAAAACAACAUAGGGCAUGGGUGCAAAAGAAAAAUUUGUGACGUGGACCACAGUGCAUACUAGGCAUACGAAUAAAACUACAAUGGACAGAUCCUAAUGUGUGAAAAAAAUAUCGUGAGAUAGGUCCAAGUGAUAGGGUUUGGCAACGGUGACACGGUGCAAAAAGAAUCACAUCAAUCGGAGCUACGGUUUAGGAGAUAUGGCCAUUUGAAGUUCGAAUUCAAAUCUGAAUAAAGUUCAAUUUUGAAUUUGGAAAAAGUUUACAAACACAAUGCUACUGGAUAGAUCUAAUCAAUACGAAGAAUUUGCUGCUGGUUUCAUCGAAUUUGGACCUACGGGUAAAAAGUUGUGGCUAUUCUAAGUUUAGGGACUAAUAUGCUAAUUAUAGGGACUAAACAGUGAAGAAAACUAUCACCAACAAGUCCCUGGCCAGGUGGCGCACUGUGAGAGGCCAGAGAGUGUUCACUUCGGUAGCUAUACGGUGAACGGCCACUGAAUAAUAAAAACAACUACCGCGGCUAAAUAAAAAA